RNAcentral lists this transfer RNA (75 nucleotides) under Candidatus Bathyarchaeota archaeon. RNAcentral describes it as "tRNA-Met". It matches the Rfam family "tRNA". From Rfam's summary of the family: Transfer RNA (tRNA) molecules are approximately 80 nucleotides in length. RNAcentral also lists the same sequence under 1 other name. Lineage: Archaea; Thermoproteati; Candidatus Bathyarchaeota. The record is from RNAcentral.
AGCGGGGUAGGGGAGCUAGGUUACCCCGCCGGGCUCAUAACCCGGAGGUCGGUGGUUCAAAUCCACCCCCCGCUA